Molecule: unclassified non-coding RNA, 336 nt
Filed under: soil metagenome
Description: partial contains 5.8S ribosomal RNA, internal transcribed spacer 2, and large subunit ribosomal RNA
Rfam family: 5.8S ribosomal RNA (bases 1-120)
Source: RNAcentral
GAUGAAGAACGCAGCGAAAUGCGAUAAGUAGUGUGAAUUGCAGAAUUCAGUGAAUCAUCGAAUCUUUGAACGCACAUUGCGCCCUUUGGUAUUCCUUAGGGCAUGCCUGUUCGAGCGUCAUUUGAACCCUCAAGCUCAGCUUGGUGUUGGGUGUCUGUCCCCGCCUCCGCGGGGACUCGCCUCAAAAUCAUUGGCGGCCGGUACGUUGGCUUCGAGCGCAGCAGAAACGCGAACUCGAGGCCCGGCGGAUCGGCGACCAGAAGUCUCUUCUUCACAGUUUGACCUCGGAUCAGGUAGGGAUACCCGCUGAACUUAAGGAUAUCAAUAAGCGGAGGA